AUUGAACGCUGGCGGCAUGCCUUACACAUGCAAGUCGAACGGCAGCGGGCCUUCGGGUGCCGGCGAGUGGCGAACGGGUGAGUAAUGCAUCGGAACGUGCCAUUGAGUGGGGGAUAACGUAGCGAAAGUUACGCUAAUACCGCAUAUUCUGUGAGCAGGAAAGCAGGGGACCGCAAGGCCUUGCGCUCUUUGAGCGGCCGAUGUCAGAUUAGCUAGUUGGUGAGGUAAAGGCUUACCAAGGCGACGAUCUGUAGCGGGUCUGAGAGGAUGAUCCGCCACACUGGAACUGAGACACGGUCCAGACUCCUACGGGAGGCAGCAGUGGGGAAUUUUGGACAAUGGGCGCAAGCCUGAUCCAGCCAUGCCGCGUGAGUGAAGAAGGCCUGGUUGUAA
This 393-nucleotide ribosomal RNA is filed under the name uncultured bacterium. RNAcentral describes it as "bacterial SSU rRNA". It matches the Rfam family "Bacterial small subunit ribosomal RNA", at positions 30 to 428 of the family's 1533-position model. The record is from RNAcentral.